UUCUCUUCGCUAGGGAAAGCUCCAUGAGCAAGGAUCUAUGACGCCUGUCUUGUUCUCAUCUUUCUCACUUCUUCCCUCAAGUAGUUUCUGAAGUUUUGCCUCAUCUACAAAAUCUUUGUGAGCUUAAAGGCUAUGAGGGAAUGUCUCUCUUUGACCUGUUUUGAAGCCGUUGGUCUAUUUAUUUGUACAUAAGAGAAUAUUUUUAAGUGGCUGUUCUUCUCCUUUAUAUCUAUAAAACAUCAAAUUCUCUGAAUAUCAAUGAACCUAAUCACAUUUGUGUAAAAGAAAAGCUGUUUUUUCAUAGUUGGUUCUUU
Sapajus apella (tufted capuchin) is the source of this 314-nucleotide long non-coding RNA. RefSeq lists it as uncharacterized. The record is from RefSeq and is a predicted model, not a curated record. Lineage: Eukaryota; Metazoa; Chordata; Mammalia; Primates; Cebidae. The transcript has 2 exons.